UACGGGGGGGGUAAGCGUUGUUCGGAAUUACUGGGCGUAAAGGGCUCGUAGGCGGCCAACUAAGUCAUACGUGAAAUCCCUCAGCUUAACUGGGGAACUGCGUGUGAUACUGGAUGGCUUGGAUUUGGGAGAGGGAUGCGGAAUUCCAGGUGUAGCGGUGAAAUGCGUAGAGAUCGGGAGGAAGGCCGGUGGCGAAGGCGGCGCUCUGGAACAUUUCUGACGCUGAGGCUCGAAAGCGUGGGGAGCAAACAGG
This 253-nucleotide ribosomal RNA is filed under the name uncultured bacterium. Its description in RNAcentral is "partial 16S ribosomal RNA". It matches the Rfam family "Bacterial small subunit ribosomal RNA", at positions 524 to 776 of the family's 1533-position model. The record is from RNAcentral.